This 159-nucleotide ribosomal RNA is filed under the name Clostridioides difficile. RNAcentral describes it as "partial 23S ribosomal RNA". It matches the Rfam family "Bacterial large subunit ribosomal RNA", at positions 1 to 159 of the family's 2925-position model. Lineage: Bacteria; Bacillati; Bacillota; Clostridia; Peptostreptococcales; Peptostreptococcaceae. The record is from RNAcentral.
GGUCAAGUUAUUAAGGGUGCAGGGCGGAUGCCUUGGCACUAGGAGCCGAUGAAGGACGUGAUAAGCUGCGAUAAGCUUCGGGGAGUUGCACGUAAACUUUGAUCCGAAGAUUUCCGAAUGAGGAAACUCACUUAGAGUAAUGUCUAAGUAUCAUUAAGU